CGAGACACAUGAGGCGCAGCUUCAGAUUAGCAAAAAGAGAGAAGCAGAUUAGCGUCUGAAGAAAAAAGCAUUAAUCUUUUCCUUCGAUUCAUCCGCUCUGCUGCCCGUCAAUGCUCCACAUUGUUCCAGGUUCCGGUGAUCUCACUCACAACUCACGGAUUGACACCUGCAGAUUCACCGAACAGUGCGGCAUCAUGCACGAUGAUUUGUGCAGCAGAUAUUGAUCCAGCCAUCAGUCUCGCUACGCCGUUAAAGUAAAAUGCAAAUAGUACAAAUAGUAUUUCGAAUCGAUCGGACAUUCUCCAGGAGGUACUAUUACUGCGUUACACAAUGUUCUUGUACAAAAUGUGUACAAUACUCUAAUGGAUUAUCUCGACUCUCAGUAUACUUCGCAAAAGAAGUGGCAGAUCAUUCAUAAUGCAAAACAAACACCGAGACAUCAAAAGUAUACGAUGAUACAUGAGAUGUUAUAACAUAAACACCGACUAUAUUCCAGUCGAAUCUGGCCUUAAAACAACUCAGGUAUGUAUAAUCUGCGAACGCAUAGGUACCUCAUGGUUUUCUUUCUUUCUUUCAGCGCACCAUACCUGGCCAACUCCGACAUUUAAAACGUUUUCCCGAAAUGGUUCAUUACAGAAAAUGACACUUAUUUGCGCCGAUUUGCAAAAAGUUUCGUUUCAAGAAGCUAAUUGCACUCCAAACGGGUAUGCUCGCGCACCGAUCCUUACAGCAAAAGGGCCGACAGCUAAUUCACUUUGGUGAAACCUUCACCCCCUAAAAGCACGAUUUAAUUACGUUAACUUUUUAUUUGAAACCUUAUGGUACAAGAGGUACGCAACAUGCAGUAUCCUUGGAGGUGUGUGAAAGCGACCGAAGGCACUUGAUUCUGGGGGCGCGCUCGCAAGGCCAAUCAUCAUUUCUCCUUCGUGUCUAAUGAAAGCCCCUCUAAUUACCGCUUGCCGUGUCGGGGCUAAUAAGAAGACUUUUCCAAGGACCGCACAUACCGGGCUCACCAGCGACCAGGGUAUGGGAUUCGUGUCGAGGAUCCCGAGGCUCCCAGCCAUUAGCCAUUAGCCUGUCAUACCAACGCACGACGUUUGGCUUCAACUUUGCUGACACCUGAACUGCAAUUUCCGGAUAAUGCCGCGGUACUUGCCACAACUACACUAGCACAAGCUAAGGCCUAUUCGCCUUGUUACGGCGCUCGUCGCGAGUAUCCGUGGCGCUAGUGACAGGAAUGGUAACAAUUGGUUGCGACUUCUGGACACCGAUGACUUGCAGGACCAGAAAACAAACCUCCUCUUGUAUGCCGUCAGGAUAUCAAGCAAACCGAUAAUAAUAUGAUCCAUGGACUGUCCUUUCGCCCCCUUUCCGAUGCAAGUGCGGUGUGGAUCGGUUGAGAUGGUGAUAGAAAUACAAUACCCGACGUAAUGCAUUCAAUGCACUUACUGCAAACACGUCACUAGCCUUUUCGUUUACAAGCGAAAUGGAUAUUUAUGUGUAAUUCCAGACUUAUCUAUUUCUCUCCCUGUUUAGCUUUACGUAACCUACGGCAAACUUUUCUUAUAAUGUUGAUUGGAAAUCUUCCUCUACUGAGGAAAGGCUCGAUGUUUAUUGCGUUUCGAUGAGCUCAUUAGCUUUGAUUUUCUCGAAGGAAGGUUAGUGGGAACACUUUACGACGAUUAAGAUUGCAGUUGAAAUUUCACUUAGACAACUAGCACAAGCUUUGAUGGUUGCAAUCGAGAAUGAUGGAUCACAAUGUAGCAGCUAAAAGUUACAAUUGUUUUGCGCUCUGCGAUGACAAUGUAAAAGAAUUGCAUGUAGUAGUUUUGGUUUUAAUUGAACACUCUACGAUGUUUGAACUAUUUUAAAAUACAAUUUUAAAGAUCUAAAUAUCUUUGACUCAUUGGAACAACGUAUAGUUAUUAGUAUUUCUUUUUGAUUGAUUUAAAGUGAUUUCGCCAUCUACACAAAUAGAACAAGAACAAGUAUUUAAAAAAAUAAAGAAUAAUUUACAAAUGAAAUGGCUGCGAUACAUUUAGCAAAAACAAUCAAAA
Molecule: long non-coding RNA, 2057 nt
Organism: Anopheles darlingi
Lineage: Eukaryota; Metazoa; Arthropoda; Insecta; Diptera; Culicidae
Exons: 3
Source: RefSeq, a predicted model, not a curated record